This 433-nucleotide ribosomal RNA is filed under the name uncultured bacterium. Its description in RNAcentral is "partial 16S ribosomal RNA". It matches the Rfam family "Bacterial small subunit ribosomal RNA", at positions 29 to 507 of the family's 1533-position model. The record is from RNAcentral.
AACGAACGCUGGCGGCAUGCCUAACACAUGCAAGUCGAACGAGACCUUCGGGUCUAGUGGCGCACGGGUGCGUAACGCGUGGGAACCUGCCCUUAGGUUCGGAAUAACUCCCCGAAAGGGGUGCUAAUACCGGAUAAUGUCUUCGGACCAAAGAUUUAUCGCCUUUGGAAGGGCCCGCGUUGGAUUAGCUAGUUGGUAGGGUAAAAGCCUACCAAGGCGACGAUCCAUAGCUGGUCUGAGAGGAUGAUCAGCCACACUGGGACUGAGACACGGCCCAGACUCCUACGGGAAGCAGCAGUGGGGAAUAUUGGACAAUGGGCGAAAGCCUGAUCCAGCAAUGCCGCGUGAGUGAUGAAGGCCUUAGGGUUGUAAAGCUCUUUUACCCGGGAUGAUAAUGACAGUACCGGGAGAAUAAGCUCCGGCUAACUCCGUG